Molecule: long non-coding RNA, 450 nt
Organism: Engraulis encrasicolus (European anchovy)
Lineage: Eukaryota; Metazoa; Chordata; Actinopteri; Clupeiformes; Engraulidae
Exons: 3
Source: RefSeq, a predicted model, not a curated record
AUAUAUAUAUUUUUGAAGUCUGAAAUUUAAGCCGUUAAUAAAAAAAUAAAGCACAAACACGUAACGUUUCUGUUAACGUUUCCAGCCAACAGCGGGUGACGUCACGCGAAUGGUAGUCUCCUAUUCUAAUGCUGUUAUGAUAGUAGUGAAUUAAACAUUUGGGACUUGCGUGGCUGAUUAUGAGCUUAUUUGCUUAACCCAAAUGAAGCAAGAAUACGUGUUUGGGUGGGACAGAACAAAUAUGAGGCAUGAAGGCAGACAAGACAUCCCAUCACAUGAACCACAGAUGAGCAGUAGGCCUACUUCAGAAUAGAGUGAUGGAAGAAAAGGAUGGAGAAGGCGAGGCCAUGCCAACCACUUUCUAUGUGCAGCCACAGGACUCCACGAUCAUGUCGGGCACGUCGGUCUUGACUAUGCUGUGCUGGGAGUUGAAGUAGACCAUGGAGAGGG